UACGGGGGGGGCAAGCGUUGUUCGGAAUUACUGGGCGUAAAGCGUGCGCAGGCGGCUAUGCAAGUCAGAUGUGAAAGCCCCGGGCUUAACCUGGGAAUGGCAUUUGGGACUGCAAGGCUUGAGUGCGGCAGGGGAGACUGGAAUUCCCGGUGUAGCAGUGAAAUGCGUAGAUAUCGGGAGGAAUACCGAUGGCGAAGGCAGGUCUCUGGGCUGACACUGACGCUCAUGCACGAAAGCGUGGGGAGCAAACAGG
RNAcentral lists this ribosomal RNA (253 nucleotides) under uncultured bacterium. RNAcentral's name for it is "partial 16S ribosomal RNA". It matches the Rfam family "Bacterial small subunit ribosomal RNA", at positions 524 to 776 of the family's 1533-position model. The record is from RNAcentral.